Molecule: ribosomal RNA, 433 nt
Filed under: uncultured bacterium
Lineage: Bacteria
Description: partial 16S ribosomal RNA
Rfam family: Bacterial small subunit ribosomal RNA
Source: RNAcentral
AACGAACGCUGGCGGCAUGCCUAACACAUGCAAGUCGAACGAGACCUUCGGGUCUAGUGGCGCACGGGUGCGUAACGCGUGGGAACCUGCCCUUAGGUUCGGAAUAACUCCCCGAAAGGGGUGCUAAUACCGGAUAAUGUCUUCGGACCAAAGAUUUAUCGCCUUUGGAUGGGCCCGCGUUGGAUUAGCUGGUUGGUAGGGUAAAAGCCUACCAAGGCGACGAUCCAUAGCUGGUCUGAGAGGAUGAUCAGCCACACUGGGACUGAGACACGGCCCAGACUCCUACGGGAGGCAGCAGUGGGGAAUAUUGGACGAUGGGCGAAAGCCUGAUCCAGCAAUGCCGCGUGAGUGAUGAAGGCCCUAGGGUUGUAAAGCUCUUUUACCCGGGAUGAUAAUGACAGUACCGGGAGAAUAAGCUCCGGCUAACUCCGUG